AAAAAGUUAGUUAAAAAAUAACAUUAGAUUGUCAGCCUAAAAUUAUUAAUUUAUUUUAAUACUUUUUA
RNAcentral lists this transfer RNA (68 nucleotides) under Pomacea canaliculata. RNAcentral's name for it is "tRNA-Asp". The record is from RNAcentral. Lineage: Eukaryota; Metazoa; Mollusca; Gastropoda; Architaenioglossa; Ampullariidae.